CACUUGGAGAUGUUUACGUCUCCAAAGAGCCCUCACGCCUCUAACCAAAUGAGACGGGAAGGCGGAGCCAGACGUUGUCACGUGGCUGCUCCCGCCCAUCGGGUAAGCGGACCGCACUACUUCGCCAGUUGGCGUCGGCGGAGGAAUACGAAACGAAAUAGCUCGCCGGAAGUUCCGUACUAAUGCCCCCGGGAGACCGACCUGGACUGCUGGGUGUGACCCGAUAUGUCAAACCCACCCACCUGAGAAUCCCUUAGCGGGAUAUUGCCCGCGGCGAAGGGUAUCUAGAGCCCACAAACCGCCGCCUCGGCCCGUGCUGAGAAAGGAAGUCUUCCUGUGAUGACCAAUCAGCAGCGAGAAGCCGUUCUAAAGUCCCACCCUCUUUCUCCCCCAGCCCUUUCAUUUCGUUCCCCCACCUCGCCGGUGCGUCUGCGCUGUUCGGCCCUUCCAGGACGCCGUCCAUCGCGCGCCCAGUUGGGAGUCUAGCGGCAACCUGCCUCCGUGACAUGGCCGGCUCAGAGGCUGAGUGGAUAACCGUUGCCAAUAACCUUCUUUUGAAAUGUCACAUACACCUGAGGAUACGAGAACUGGAAGACUGUGAUGCUAAUGUUUUUAUUGCGCUUUAUCAAUCCAUUUUGGGAGAAAAGGUACCAGACCUCAUAGCUAUUCCCAGGAGUCAAGAGGAUGAAGCUCACAAUGUACAAGCAGUAAUUGAUUCGCUGGCCUUGGAUUACCUGCAAGUCAGCUUGUCUCACAUAACAGGAGAAAAUAUAGUGAAGGGAGAUAAAGAAUCUAUUAAGAAUCUGCUAGAAAUCUUUGAUGGGUUGCUGGAGUAUCUUACAGAACACAUCAGUGAGACAUCUCACGAAAAAAGUGAAACUGGACAGAGUUUUAAAGAAUUCCAUCAAGGAGAACCUUUAGAAGAGCCAGAAAGUACUAAGGAAUCCAAAUCAUCAUGGAAAAAGGUUUCUUUUGGGAGGUGCUCCUUGUCAUCUGAGGCUUUGGGCCCCUCUUGGGAUGGAGAUGAAACAGAAUCCACUGGUGAAGUAAUUAGACUCGGAGACACAGCACACACCUUUUCUCUAAGAAGUAAUGGUACCGAAGGCCCUAACCAAAUGCAGUCCAAAAAAGCCCCAACUCUAUUACAUGAAGAAGUGCUACACCCUCCCUCAUCUAGUUUUUUGUCCAAGAGUAGGACAUCCUUUGUUGAAGACAUGGAAAUUCCUUCUGUGGAUGUGAUUCCAAGUGCUAGGAAACUAGGGGAGCCUAUUCAAUCAGCUAUUCCUUUACAUCCACCCUACCACCCUUCAGAGCCUCGAGCACCCUGUCCCAUAGGAAAAGAAUACUUGCGCUCAAGUCACAUCUCCCCUGCUGUGAAUUCUACUGGAGAGGGCACUGCAUUUUCUGUGGAAUCAGAUAAUAGAGUUCUCUUAACUUCUAAGUUGCCUAAAGAUAGCAAACAGGAAAUGGUUUCAGCUCAGAUCCAAAGCCCUAGGACAAGGAAACUUCCCACAGGAAAAAGAUAUGAAGGUAGACCUACAGUCUCAUCCUGGGAUUCACCCUUCUCCCAGAGGGCAAGGAAGAGGUUAACAGAACAAGAAAUACACGCAGUUUCCGAGAAACUCUCUCAACGGCUCUCUGAACUAGAUUGGAUGUUAAAAAGUGCCCUGGGUGAUCGAAUUAAAGAAAAGACUGGCUACGAAGAUGAUAUUGGAAAUGAAGAGAUGGAGAGUGGAAAUGAUGAGACACUGUCUCAACACAGUGACAGCAUCAUGGAGUAUGGGCCGAAGAAGCGAAGGCCAGGAGUUCCUAUGCAUAGAAGGCCACCCUACAGAUCUCAUUCGCUCUCUCCAUCUCCAGUUAACAAAAACACACAGUUCCAUAUGGAGAGAAAACGGCAGCGAAAGCCUAAAGAGGCAGAUAUCCACCAAUUCCAAGCAAAGGCAAUAACGGAAGCAUUUGAAAGGGAGCUAAGAAGAAAUAAAGUUCAAGAGAAUAUUGGAUCUCUAGGAAUAAAUAACGAUGAGGAAACAGAAAAAAUAUACAGAGAAGCUGUUCAUAAAGGAACUCCAACAAAACGUAGUCAGCCCUGGAAGACUUACUCUAGAAAGACCACAACUCCAAGUCCAAGAGGUGGCUGGCCAAAGCCAAAUAAAGCAGUUCCAAUGAAAGUGAAUGAACACAGCCUCUUGCCCCUCAUGCUGGAGCAGUUUCCAUUUCUCUAUGUUUCUGGUGAAACACUAAGCAAAAUGUGGAAACAGCAAAUUACACAGGUUGAACAGCUCAGAAAAGAUGCAUGUAGAGAAAAUCGAUCAAAGAAGAAACUCCAGGAUGAAAUAGAAGAAGCCUUAAAAAAGCAUGACCUCCUUACUGUACUUGUCAAGAAAGAAUAUGAACAUAACAAGAGACUGCAAGACUUCAAGGACCGCAUUCAUAGGCAGAGGUUGACACAGUCGAAGAUAAAGGAAAAUCGGCAGCAGAUUGUCCGUGCCCGAAAAUACUACGAUGAGUACAGAGUUCAGUUGCGUGCAAAAAUGAUGAGAAUGAGGACCCGGGAAGAAAUGAUAUUUAAGAAGUUGUUUGAAGAAGGUUUACAAAUUCAAAAGCAAAGAUUACGAGACCUAAGAAACUAUGCCAAAGAAAAGCGAGCUGAACAAAAGAGACAGCACCAGAAUGAACUGGACUCCAUGGAGAACUACUAUAAAGACCAGUUUUCAUUGCUGGCAGAAGCCAUAUCACAAGAACGCCAGGAACUCAAAGCCAGAGAGAGAUCCCAGGCACAGACACUAUAUAAGGUGAAGAGGGAGCUGAGGUCGAAGAUGGAGAAGGAGAUUCAACAACUUCAGUGCAUGAUCACCCAGGAUGACGACGAUGCUUUCUUCCGGGAACUGGAAGCUGAGCGCUUCAGAUCGCGCCUUCAUCUGGCUUCUUUUCAGUACAGUAAAAAUCCCUUCCCGUGAGACCAGAUUUUGUAAGUGAAGUUUCUGGAGGACGUUACCAGGACAGAGCUAGAACUGAGCCGGGGACGGCGUGAGAAGAGGCGGAGUGUGGAAAGCCAGAAGGCGUGUGCCUCGAAGGAGCCCUCGUGCCUGCAGGUAGGGAGGAGGCGCAGUGGACUGGAAGUAGGCAAGUGCACGCCAAGCCUAUUUCUGGUGUGGAGGAGGAGAAAACCCCACACCCAGCAGGAAGCCACCACGCCUUCCGUGGGGAGGAAGGCUCCAGAGCAGUUGAAGACAGGGGGACUUUGCUGAUCAGAGCCAGAGAAUGGCACCGGACCCCAGGAAAGGACUGAAGGGGAGAAGAGAGGCUCCGGUUAGGGAACGUAGAGAGUAGCAAUGGCGAUGAACCACAACAGAGGCCCUGGGAGCAUGAUCGUGGGAUCCGCUGGUCUUGCAGACAGACAUCCAGACAGCUGUGAUCUACCAGGACAAGGGAAUGAGUGCAGGUGAAUGGAAAGGAUCAGGGACGUGCACAAGACAAGGCUAGGUCUGUAAGGGCUACAACGUGAAUUCUAAAAAUGGCUAUGAAGAGAAAAAAUGAAAGUAGAUCUGUUAUCCACGAUAUAUUUGAGUAAAAUGAGCAAAUGAAACUAUACACCGUGAUACUGUUUUACCUUAAAAGCUGUGGUAUGGGUGGAUCUCCCAUAUAAUGGAGUAUGUAGUUGACCUUCGGACAACGUGGAGAUCACAGGUGCCAAGGCCCCGUGCAGUCAAAAAUCCGUGUAUAACUUCUGACUCCCCAAAAA
Prionailurus viverrinus (fishing cat) is the source of this 3745-nucleotide RNA transcript. It is a transcript of the gene named centrosomal protein 95, with no coding region annotated. The transcript has 21 exons. NCBI's taxonomy places the organism in Eukaryota, Metazoa, Chordata, Mammalia, Carnivora, Felidae. The record is from RefSeq and is a predicted model, not a curated record.